Molecule: non-coding RNA, 407 nt
Organism: Camellia sinensis
Lineage: Eukaryota; Viridiplantae; Streptophyta; Magnoliopsida; Ericales; Theaceae
Source: RefSeq, a predicted model, not a curated record
UUAUGACAACAAUCCAUUUUGCUCUAUCUUGUGAGAGAUUAUAGCAUCUAAUGUGUCAAAUUUUAUUGACAUACAUUGAUUCAAUUAUGCAUAAUAUUGUCUACAUUGUUGCGGUCCCCUCACCAACAUUCUCUGUUUUCUUUCUUUGUUGCCAUAUAGUCCUCUAGAGAUUAUCUGAAUUCUUUGUAUGUAGGUCAUGAAUAGAGAGGAUUAAAUACCAAAUGGGAUUGGCACAUACUGUUGGUGUUUGGCUCCACGGUCUUGGAUUCCAAGGUCUCAAGUGAACAUGAUGAGAUCCAAAGUCAUUUGGCAAUUGUCCUUCAUAAAUAGUUGAGUCCAUGCAUUUAAUGCUCGGGAUUCGAGAUUUGAUAUGGACUUGUUUGGUAAUUUGGAGGGCAGAUGGUAGC